GAUGAAGAACGUAGCGAAAUGCGAUAAGUAGUGUGAAUUGCAGAAUUCAGUGAAUCAUCGAAUCUUUGAACGCACAUUGCGCCCCUUGGUAUUCCAUGGGGCAUGCCUGUUCGAGCGUCAUUUGUACCUUCAAGCUUUGCUUGGUGUUGGGUGUUUGUCCUGAGGGACUCGCCUUAAAGUGAUUGGCAGCCAGUGUUUGGUUUUGAAGCGCAGCACAAGUCGCGAUUCAAAGCUAUACGCCCGCUUCCACAAGCCUUUUUCACUUUUGACCUCGGAUCAGGUAGGGAUACCCGCUGAACUUAAGCAUAUCAAUAGCGGAGGA
This 322-nucleotide unclassified non-coding RNA is filed under the name soil metagenome. RNAcentral describes it as "partial contains 5.8S ribosomal RNA, internal transcribed spacer 2, and large subunit ribosomal RNA". The stretch from base 1 to 120 matches the Rfam family "5.8S ribosomal RNA", at positions 35 to 154 of the family's 154-position model. The record is from RNAcentral.